CCUGCGGGCCACACGAUCGCGGGGGAACAAAUCCCUCGAGGAAAGUCCGGACACCAGAGGGCGAGGUGGUUGGUAACGCCGACCCGGGGAAACCCGCGGGAAAGUGCCACAGAAACACACCGCCGAUGGCGCGGCCAUUUGGACGCGCACAGGCAAGGGUGAAAUGGUGCGGUAAGAGCGCACCAGCGUCGCGGUGACGCGGCGGCUGGGCAAACCCCACCUGGUGCAAGGCCAAGCAGGACCGUUGACCCGACCCGGCGAGGUCCAGGUAGGUCGCAGGGCCGCGGCAAACGCGGCUCCCGGGGCUUCGGCCCCGGAGAUGGAUGAUCGUGCACGACAGGAUCCGGCUUAUCGGCCCGCUACGGAG
RNAcentral lists this RNase P RNA (367 nucleotides) under Solirubrobacterales bacterium. RNAcentral's name for it is "RNase P RNA component class A". It matches the Rfam family "Bacterial RNase P class A". From Rfam's summary of the family: Ribonuclease P (RNase P) is a ubiquitous endoribonuclease, found in archaea, bacteria and eukarya as well as chloroplasts and mitochondria. Its best characterised activity is the generation of mature 5'-ends of tRNAs by cleaving the 5'-leader elements of precursor-tRNAs. Lineage: Bacteria; Bacillati; Actinomycetota; Thermoleophilia; Solirubrobacterales. The record is from RNAcentral.